AUACGAAGGGGGCUAGCGUUGUUCGGAAUUACUGGGCGUAAAGCGCACGUAGGCGGAUAUUUAAGUCAGGGGUGAAAUCCCAGAGCUCAACUCUGGAACUGCCUUUGAUACUGGGUAUCUUGAGUAUGGAAGAGGUAAGUGGAAUUCCGAGUGUAGAGGUGAAAUUCGUAGAUAUUCGGAGGAACACCAGUGGCGAAGGCGGCUUACUGGUCCAUUACUGACGCUGAGGUGCGAAAGCGUGGGGCGCAAACAGGAUUAGAUACCCUAGUAGUCC
This 274-nucleotide ribosomal RNA is filed under the name uncultured bacterium. Its description in RNAcentral is "partial 16S ribosomal RNA". It matches the Rfam family "Bacterial small subunit ribosomal RNA", at positions 523 to 796 of the family's 1533-position model. The record is from RNAcentral.